RNAcentral lists this ribosomal RNA (471 nucleotides) under Campylobacter coli. RNAcentral describes it as "partial 23S ribosomal RNA". It matches the Rfam family "Bacterial large subunit ribosomal RNA", at positions 2145 to 2615 of the family's 2925-position model. Lineage: Bacteria; Pseudomonadati; Campylobacterota; Epsilonproteobacteria; Campylobacterales; Campylobacteraceae. The record is from RNAcentral.
AGGUGGGAGGCUUUGAGUAUAUGACGCCAGUUGUAUAUGAGCCAUUGUUGAGAUACCACUCUUUCUUAUUUGGGUAGCUAACCAGCUUGAGUUAUCCUCAAGUGGGACAAUGUCUGGUGGGUAGUUUGACUGGGGCGGUCGCCUCCCAAAUAAUAACGGAGGCUUACAAAGGUUGGCUCAGAACGGUUGGAAAUCGUUCGUAGAGUAUAAAGGUAUAAGCCAGCUUAACUGCAAGACAUACAAGUCAAGCAGAGACGAAAGUCGGUCUUAGUGAUCCGGUGGUUCUGUGUGGAAGGGCCAUCGCUCAAAGGAUAAAAGGUACCCCGGGGAUAACAGGCUGAUCUCCCCCAAGAGCUCACAUCGACGGGGAGGUUUGGCACCUCGAUGUCGGCUCAUCGCAUCCUGGGGCUGGAGCAGGUCCCAAGGGUAUGGCUGUUCGCCAUUUAAAGCGGUACGCGAGCUGGGUUCAGA